This 253-nucleotide ribosomal RNA is filed under the name uncultured bacterium. Its description in RNAcentral is "partial 16S ribosomal RNA". It matches the Rfam family "Bacterial small subunit ribosomal RNA", at positions 524 to 776 of the family's 1533-position model. The record is from RNAcentral.
UACGUAGGUGGCAAGCGAUACUCGGAAUCACUAGGCGUAAAGCGCAGGUAGGCGGUUUGGUAAGUCUUUUGUGAAAGCUCCUGGCUCAACUGGGAGAGGUCAAGGGAAAUUACCGGACUAGAGUGUGGUAGGGGAUACUGGAAUUCCUGGUGUAGCGGUGAAAUGCGUAGAUAUCAGGAGGAAUACCUAUGGCGAAAGCAGGUAUCUGGGCCAUCACUGACGCUGAGCUGCGAAAGCUAGGGGAGCAAACAGG